UUGCUCUAUUUGGCAGCAUAUAUACUAAAAUUGGAACACUAGGGAGAAGACUAGCAUGGCCCCUGUGCAAAAGUGACUUACAAAUUUCUAAAGCAUUCCUUAUUUUU
Molecule: small nuclear RNA, 107 nt
Organism: Camelus dromedarius (Arabian camel)
Lineage: Eukaryota; Metazoa; Chordata; Mammalia; Artiodactyla; Camelidae
Source: Ensembl